CACGUAGGCGGACCAGAAAGUCAGAGGUGAAAUCCCAGGGCUCAACCUUGGAACUGCCUUUGAAACUCCUGGUCUUGAGUUCGAGAGAGGUGAGUGGAAUUCCGAGUGUAGAGGUGAAAUUCGUAGAUAUCCGGAGGAACACCAGUGGCGAAGGCGGCUCACUGGCUCGAUACUGACGCUGAGGUGCGAAAGCGUGGGGAGCAAACA
Molecule: ribosomal RNA, 207 nt
Filed under: uncultured bacterium
Lineage: Bacteria
Description: partial 16S ribosomal RNA
Rfam family: Bacterial small subunit ribosomal RNA
Source: RNAcentral